UGUUAGCUUGCUAACAGGCGUCGAGUGGCGGACGGGUGAGUAACGCGUAGGAAUCUACCAGAUAGCGGGGGAUAGCCCGGAGAAAUCCGGAUUAAAUACCGCAUAAUCUCUACGGAUAAAGGGGGGCCUCUAUUUAUAAGCUUUCACUAUUUGAUGAGCCUGCGUAAGAUUAGCUUGUUGGUGAGGUAAAAGCUCACCAAGGCGACGAUCUUUAGCUGGUCUGAGAGGAUGAUCAGCCACACUGGGACUGAGACACGGCCCAGACUCC
RNAcentral lists this ribosomal RNA (268 nucleotides) under unidentified marine bacterioplankton. RNAcentral's name for it is "partial 16S ribosomal RNA". It matches the Rfam family "Bacterial small subunit ribosomal RNA", at positions 73 to 339 of the family's 1533-position model. The record is from RNAcentral. RNAcentral also lists the same sequence under 1 other name.